ACUGGGAAUUUGGGGUUAAUAGAUGGAAACUAUUGCACUUGGAAUGGAUAGGCAAUGAGAUCCUGCUGUACAGCACUGGGACACUGGGAACUAUAUCUAGUCACUUAUGAUGGAGAAUGAUAAUGUGAGGUAAAAAAAUGUAUACAUGUAUGUGUGACUUUGCUGUAUAGUAGAAAAUUGACAGAACACUGAAAACCAGCUGUAAUGGAAAAAAAUAAAAAUCAUUUAAGAAAUAAAAUAAAAUCUUCUGCCCAUUAAAAAAACCCAUCAUAAAUGCAGUUAUAUGCCCUACUGCUGACAUUUAAAUUCCUCUUAUAAUAUGUGGCAACAUAGGAUUUUUUUGGUCCCCCCUCAUUUUUUUUUCCUUUCUAAGAAGUGUCAUUAUUCCUUUUCUAAUACCAUAACUACUGUUUCUUGAAGGAAAACUGUGAUUUGACAACAGAAACGUGUUGCUUUAAGCUGAAUGUUAUUCUAAAUGAUGUCUCUUAGGAGAGUUUGUAGGUAGGAUCUCUCUGAACAGUGCUGACAAAACCCACUCCUUAGGUCACAUGCCCAGAGCUUCAUCUUCCCCAAGGCACACAACCACACUUGUAUACCAGAUACCUCCUUGGAAGGAGGACAGUCCAACAUGUGGCUGCAUUUCCUCCAUUGAAGGGGGAGUGGUUAUGGGAUGUGACAGGUGGAAACACAACAUUCUAUUUGUUGGUACUGUGGCAAGGAGCCUGAUAAAAAUGCUCAAACGCUGCUCUGCCACUCACCACCCCCCCCCCCGUGGAGUUUUCAAGAGGAACAAUAAUAAAAGAAAGCCAAGUACCCCUUGAUUUAUUAAUGGAGACAGGGCAAGAAUCUCUGGAAAGCAGAUGCAGUACUUACCUUGGGAUCUAAGUAGGACCAUCCAUUACUAUUUCAAAUCAGAAUUUGUGGAUCUUUCCACCUCUAGCCUACAGGAAAUCAAGGCAGUGACCAAAACUCUCUGCUACAUAUGGAAAGGUGGGAAAAAAGGCAAGACAUCUGGCCCUCAAGUGGGACCCAGACUCAGCCUAGGAAUUCUGCCAUCUAGAGUAAAAGAGAAAUGGAGCAGGUGAGCUGCAUGCUCUGUCAAUAUCCAACUACGCUGCCCACCUGCAAACAUAGCCCAAUCAAUCCAAUAGAAUUCUAACCAAUCCAGGAGUUCCCGUCGUGGCGCAGUGGUUAACGAAUCCGACUAGGAACCAUGAGGUUGCGGGUUCGGUCCCUGCCCUUGCUCAGUGGGUUAACGAUCCGGCGUUGCCGUGAGCUGUGGUGUAGGUUGCAGAGGCGGCUCGGAUCCCGCGUUGCUGUGGCUCUGGCGUAGGCUGGCGGCUACCGCUCCGAUUCGGCCCCUAGCCUGGGAACCUCCAUAUGCCGCAGGAGCGGCCCAAGAAAUAGCAACAACAACAACAACCAAAAAAAAAAAAGAAUUCUAACCAAUCCAACUCUUCUUCAAAUAAGAUGAAAGAUAAAGGAAAACACAUGUGAGGGCCUAGUUAAGGCAUCCUGGUCCAUAAAAGCCUAUUAUAGUGGAUUGGAUAGUGUCCCUCUAAAAUUCAUGGUCCACCCAGAACCUCAGAAGGUGACUUUAUGUAGAAUAAGUGUCUUUGAAGGUAUAGUUAAGUUAAAGUUCUUGAGAGAUCACCCUGGAUUUAGAGUAGGUUCUAAAUGCAAUAACUGAUGUUCUUAUAAGGGAAAGGAAAGGGAGAUUUGAGAUACAUAGAGAGGAGAAACACAGGAAGGUGACGUGAAGAUGGAGACAAAGUCUGGAGUGAUGUGUCUAUAAGCCAAUGGAUGCCAAGGAUUGCCUAUAAUCACCAGAAGCUAGAAGAGCAGCAUGGGACAGAGUGUCCCUCAGAGCUUCCAGAUGGAACCAACCAUCAUGACAGCUGACUUGGGAAUUCUGGCCUACUGAACCAUGAGAGAGUACAAUUCUGUUAUUGUAAGCCACCCAGACAGUGGCGAUCUGCUAUGGCAACCCUAGGAAACCAUCAACAUUCCUCUAUUACAUGAUCGCAGAAAAUCUGUCCCAUUGGUUGGUCACAAGGGAGACUGGGCAAAAGAAGAUGAAUACAAAGUAUAAAUCAUUCACCACAACUAAGAAAUUAUAUUUAGAAUUUGAAUCCUAUUGUUGGAGGAGCAAUAAAUUCUGUACAACAAAGUAAAUCAACUACAAAAUGAAAAAGCAACCUAAUGAAUAGGAGAAAAAAUUUCAAAUCACAUAUAUCAUAAGGGGUUAAUAGCCAAAAGGGAGAAGAAUUAAAUGUGUAUGUUCAACCUGCCACAUGAUAACCAGCCUGAAAAAGAAUUUAAUGCUGUUUUUAGGGCCACACCUGCAGCAUAUGGCAGUUCCCAGGCUAGGGGUCGAAUGGGAGCUACAGCUGUCAGCUACCUGAGAUCAGAGUUGCAUCUGCAACCUACACCACAGCUCAUGGCAUCAUCACCACAACACUGGAUCCCCAAUCCACUGAGCAGGGCCAGGGAUUGAACCCAAGUCCUCAUAUAUACUAGCCGGGUUCAUUACUGCUGAGCUAUGACAGGAACUCCAGAAAAAAUAUUUUUUAAAACAGCAAUGUACAUCUUAUUUAGUUUCUUAAGUCUGGUGGUCUAAAAAUAACAAAUAAAUAUAUCAGAUAAAAUUUAGGGUUCGGGAUGUUUCAUUUUUGCUUUGAAUUAGUCAAAUACUUAAGUAGUUUUCUUUGUGCUAAAGAAAAAGUAUUAAAAUUGAACAUUAUACUUUUCACUAAAAUCAAUAGUGAUCUCAUAUAAUUCAAUAGAAAAAGUAAUAAUAAUGACUCAACUUAAAAGUGGGUAGAGAAUCCGAAUAGACAUUUUUCCAAAGAAGACACACAAAUGGCCAACAGGUACAUGAAAAGAUGUUCAACAUCACUAAAUAUCAGGGAAAUUCAAAUCAAAACCACAAUGAGAUAUCACAACUGUUAGAAUGGCUAUUAUCAAAAAACAAGAAACAUGCUGACAAGGAUAUGGAGGAAAGGGAAUUCUUGUGCACUGUUGAGGGGGAUGUAAAUUGGUGAAAACACAAUGGAAAACAUUGCGGAAGUUCCUCAAAAAAUUAAAAAUAGAACUACCAUAUGAUCCAGCAAUUCCUCUUCUAUGUAUUUACCUAAAGGAAACAAAAUCACUAUGUAGAAAAGAUGCCUGCAUCCCCAUGUUUACUGCAUCAUUAUUUACCAUAGCCAAGACAUGGAAGCAACCUAAGUAUCUAUCAAUAGAUGAGUAGUUAAAGAAAAUCUGGGAUAGGAGUUCUUGCUGUGGUGCAAAGUGAUGGUAUCUCUGCAGCAGCAGGGACAUGGAUUCCAUCCCCAGCCUGAUGCAGUAGGUUAAGAAAGGAUCCAUUUGCCAUAGCUGUAGCAUAGGUUGCAACUCUGGCUCAGAUUUGAUCUCUGGCCCAGGAACUCCAUAUGCCACAGGGCAG
Molecule: long non-coding RNA, 3445 nt
Filed under: Sus scrofa (pig)
Lineage: Eukaryota; Metazoa; Chordata; Mammalia; Artiodactyla; Suidae
Description: lncRNA (ENSSSCG00000058074.1)
Source: RNAcentral